RNA transcript from Eucalyptus grandis, 1410 nucleotides. RefSeq lists it as uncharacterized. NCBI's taxonomy places the organism in Eukaryota, Viridiplantae, Streptophyta, Magnoliopsida, Myrtales, Myrtaceae. The record is from RefSeq and is a predicted model, not a curated record. The transcript is spliced from 3 exons.
ACGGGUGCGUCGAGUCGUUAGCUCAGUUGCUGCAAGAAGACCGACCCAUCCUGGCUCGGGCUUCUGUCACUUGCUUCGACGAGACACCAUUGCAUGUGGCCUGCAUGCUCGGUCAUGUACCUUUUGCCAAGGCUCUUUUGGCUCAUAAAAGGGAUUUGGCUAUGGAGUUGGACUCGCAGGGACGUACGCCUCUUCACUUGGCGUCUGCGAACGGAUAUGUCGAAAUAGCGAGGGAAUUGUUACAAUUAGAGCCCCGUGCAUGCCUUGUCCAUGACGAAGAUGGGAGGACCCCACUUCAUCUAGCCACGAUGAAGGGCCGAAGCAACAUCGUGAUAGAGCUGGUGAAGGCGAGACCGAGACGGCUGAGCACAGGCAAAGCCACGGCCAAACCGCUCUCCAUCUGGGAGUGAGUCAUAAUCAUUUGGAGACUCUGAAAGUCCUGGUGGAGACGGUGAGAGAUGGUGAUUUGGUGAAAGCUCAAGAUGAUGAGGGUAAUACCAUUUUGCAUUUGGCUGCAGCACACAAGCAAAUAGAGGUAAUCCUUUUUGUUUCGAAUUGCUUUGAAAUUGUGACGAUGUCAGAUAUUGCAUUCCAAUUGAACAUUUUGUGCAGAUAAAAUCCGGCUCAUUCUCAUUUUUCUAUAGACUCAAGCUUUCUGCAUUCAAACUUCAGUGGAUUUAUCGAUUGAAGUAACUUACAAGAAAUAUCUUUGUUUGUUGUUUCUUUUAUAAUUGAUAAGAAGCUCAUCCUUUUGUGCAGACGGUGAAAUAUCUGCUUCAAAGAAGCGAAGUGGAUGUGAACACACUGAAUAGAAAUGGAUUCUCUGCUCUGGAUAUAGUGGAAUACUUUCCAAAGGAUUUCAAAGUCAUUGAAUUGAGAGAACUGUUAGUACAUGCUGGAGCCCUGAGAGCCAUAAGAUUCCCUGCAUCGACAACUCACCAAGCAGUUGUUGAUAACACGAAUGAGGAGAAUUUAACUAUUGUAGUUGACCUAGCAUCUGUAGCACCUCCCUCCACCAAUACUCCUCCGGUAGAGUUGGUUCCGCCACCAUCUUUAUCGGGUGCAAUCAGGAAGCAGGAGGAAGACAAAAACAAGAAAUGGAUCAAGAAGAAGCGCGAUUCUCUUAUGAUAACUGCCACCGUGAUCGCAGCCAUGGCUUACCAAGCCGGCAUUAGCCCUCCCGGCGGCGUGUGGGACAACGAUCAGAGACACAACGGCACCAUCUUAUACUACGCAGGAACACCGAUAAUGGCUGCAAACGAUCCAGAGGGUUACCCGAUGUUCUGGACAUACAACACCAUCUCUUUUCUUGCAUCCCUUAGCACGAUCUUCUUGCUCAUCAGUGGCUUCCCCUUGGGGAAGAAGGUUCUGACGUGGAUUCUGAUGGCCACAAUGUGGGUGACCAUCAUU